AUAUCUCUCUGUACGGGAAGGAUGAGAAGCUUCGACUAAGGUUCGAUUCGAGCGCAGCGAGAAAGCGUUGCCGUAGGCAACGACCCGAAGGGCGAAGCGCGCAGCGCUGAGUAAUCCUUCCACCGUCAUCC
This 131-nucleotide small RNA is filed under the name Salmonella enterica. RNAcentral describes it as "RtT sRNA". It matches the Rfam family "RtT RNA". Rfam says of the family: This family represents a bacterial cis-regulatory element known as RtT RNA. The exact function of RtT is unknown although it is thought that it may be involved in changing the cellular response in relation to amino acid starvation. Lineage: Bacteria; Pseudomonadati; Pseudomonadota; Gammaproteobacteria; Enterobacterales; Enterobacteriaceae. The record is from RNAcentral.